GAAGCCCACUUCCCACCUUCCCCGCGAAAAAUAGGCCCACGUUGUCGUGCGUGCGGUUCGGGCGGAGUCGGCAGCGAGCGACGAGCCUAGGCGGCGGCGGCUUCGACGACGACUGGGGCCUCAUCUAGCAGCAGCUCGACAAGCUCGAGCAGGACGAGGAGCCCACAUCGCGACCGUCCAGGGCGAGGAGCCCACACUUCCACCGGCGGCGGCGGCGCCCGCCUUUCUCUCCCUCCGGCGAAGAGGUUCCCGGCGGCUCUCUCUCCUCCAGAGAAGUGCGUCCCGACGACGCAAAGGCGGAUCCCGCCUUUCCCUCCACUUCUCGCCGGUCUGUGGCGCCCCUUGGCUCUGCAGCGCAAUCGUCCAGGGUCAGGCGUGGCCCUUCCGCACUGGCAGCAGGACCGGCGGCCUCCUUUAGCCACAGCCCAAUGGCGAGAUUUGUGCCUGAAUUGUUCUGCUUCAUAUGCCAAAGAAUUUUCGCAUGCUGUUCAGGCCUCCGAAUGCUAUCCCCGCCCAGCCGCUGCUGACAGGUGGGGGAGGCGAGCCAGCGAUGCCACGCCACCAUGGGCUGCGUUGAUGGUGGCGGUGGCUCUGCUGCUGGAGCCUGCAGGGGAUUCGGUAGCCGGCCUGCACCCUUCCUCUCGUCCAUGCCUUCAGCGGCGGUUUCUAUACUCCAGCUAACCCACCUUUCCCCUCGGGAGACCACAUCGUGAGCGCGGUUCCGGUACCGCAGGUGGUGCGUGGCGAGUGGCUCGAAUUGCGGCGAGCCUAGGCGGCGCCGGCACUUGCGGCUGGGGAAGGAGCAGUCGGCGGCGGCUCAGAGGAGUGGCGCACGAGAGAAGACGCUGGGCGUGGUGUGGCGGCGCCGCCUUCAUCGACGACGACCGGUGCCUGAGCGGGGAGCAGCUCGGCAAGCUCGAGCGGGAAGCCUACCACGAGCUCGCCGAGCGCAUGGCCUUCUUUUCCACCGCUCCCGCAACCUCGCCGCUACCCAAUCGGCCUUCUCCCCGGCGACCAGGGCCUCUUCGCGUGGGGAUUCGGCCGUGGGCGUCGGCGUGGGGCAUCACAUCUUCCGGGACACAACUGGCGGGCGUCCGACCGGCAACGGAGCUGCGAGACCCGUUCGCGGGAGGCGUGCUCUCCACCGCCGCCUCUUCCACCCCUCGACUCGUCCUCCCCUGCGAGACCCGGUCGCGGGAGGCGUGCUCUUCGCCGCGCCGACCUCCUCGCCCCCCGCUCCUCCUCGCCCUCCCCCUCGUUCCUCCCGGGAACGGCGCCGUGGUGUCAGAUCAGCACCGGUAGGACGCCGUCGAUUGGGUUGAGGCCCUCACAAGUUGAUUGGUAAUUCCCUCUGGACCUGUUUCCACUAGAUUCAGGGCGGGCGUCAGUUUAGGUGACAACGUUGCAGGGAAAGCAGAAGAGGAACUGAAACUGUUUGAGGCCAGAUGCGAGUACAUGAAGAUCAUGCAGUCCAAUGCAUUUGAUUUGAUGAUUUCACUUCGUGGUGGAAGAGAUUGAAGAUUUCAAAACAUUUUAUCUUGGGUUGCUUGUUUUUUUAACUUUUAAGUACCUUUGCAAACUGAUCUUGUAGGUUGUCUAUGAGUCGCUGUUGAGCCUUUGCUUUCCCCAUCACUGCAGGCAUCAAGUUCUUCAGAUGGCCAAUUAUGUAAGCAUGGAUCUUGGCAGCUCUAGCACGGUUCACAAACUCAUUGACCUGCACAUCGAACGAUGGCAUUCAUUUGAAAAUUCUGCACUUUGCAAAGAAAUUCGGACAGACGAUGCAUGAUAACAUACCCGGUGAUCACAGGCUUUCUUAGAAAACAAAGAAGCCGGGGGAGUGAGUUCAAACAAGAAGAUAGGACAUCUGAGACAUGUUUCAACUCUGCAACGUUUUCGAAGGAUGCUGAAGGGACCUCAAGGAAACAUGUCGUUAAUCAGAUUUUGGGAAUUAGUGUAUUGUUAUGCCAUCUAUGAAAAAGGAAGUUCCUUAGAAGUUUCUUGACACUCCUUGAUUCAGCCAUGUUCUAUCUUGAAGAUUUUUCAGAGAAUGACUUACUUGAAACUACGUUGUGAUGGUAGUGUGUUCAGAAAUUAAUGUAUAGCUGGUCCAGUAUAAUAUUUGGUAUUGUUAGCUUCGAU
Molecule: long non-coding RNA, 2139 nt
Organism: Brachypodium distachyon (stiff brome)
Lineage: Eukaryota; Viridiplantae; Streptophyta; Magnoliopsida; Poales; Poaceae
Exons: 5
Source: RefSeq, a predicted model, not a curated record